This 200-nucleotide ribosomal RNA is filed under the name uncultured bacterium. RNAcentral's name for it is "partial 16S ribosomal RNA". It matches the Rfam family "Bacterial small subunit ribosomal RNA", at positions 524 to 723 of the family's 1533-position model. The record is from RNAcentral.
UACGGAGGGUGCAAGCGUUAUCCGGAAUCACUGGGUUUAAAGGGUACGCAGGCGGUUAAAUAAGUCUGACGUGAAAGCUUGUGGCUUAACCAUGAAAAUGCGUUGGAUACUGUUUAACUAGAAUACGAUCGAAGUGGAUGGAAUGCGUCAUGUAGCGGUGAAAUGCAUAGAUAUGACGUAGAACACCAAAAGCGAAGGCA